GAGGUGUAUAGUUCAGUGGUAAAGUAUUCGACUGCAGAUUGAGAGGUCUCCGGUUCAAACCCGGAUGUCCCAUUCUUCA
RNAcentral lists this transfer RNA (79 nucleotides) under Trichonephila inaurata madagascariensis. RNAcentral's name for it is "tRNA-Cys". It matches the Rfam family "tRNA". Rfam says of the family: Transfer RNA (tRNA) molecules are approximately 80 nucleotides in length. Their secondary structure includes four short double-helical elements and three loops (D, anti-codon, and T loops). Lineage: Eukaryota; Metazoa; Arthropoda; Arachnida; Araneae; Nephilidae. The record is from RNAcentral.